This 71-nucleotide transfer RNA is filed under the name Loxodonta africana (African savanna elephant). It matches the Rfam family "tRNA". From Rfam's summary of the family: Transfer RNA (tRNA) molecules are approximately 80 nucleotides in length. Their secondary structure includes four short double-helical elements and three loops (D, anti-codon, and T loops). Further hydrogen bonds mediate the characteristic L-shaped molecular structure. tRNAs have two regions of fundamental functional importance: the anti-codon, which is responsible for specific mRNA codon recognition, and the 3' end, to which the tRNAs corresponding amino acid is attached (by aminoacyl-tRNA synthetases). tRNAs cope with the degeneracy of the genetic code in two manners: having more than one tRNA (with a specific anti-codon) for a particular amino acid; and 'wobble' base-pairing, i.e. permitting non-standard base-pairing at the 3rd anti-codon position. The record is from Rfam by way of RNAcentral. Lineage: Eukaryota; Metazoa; Chordata; Mammalia; Proboscidea; Elephantidae.
GCAGUGGUAGUUGAGUGGUAGAAUUCUCAUCUUCCACCUGAGAGACCUGGGUUUGAUUCUUGGCUAAGGCA